Molecule: long non-coding RNA, 1575 nt
Organism: Erinaceus europaeus (western European hedgehog)
Lineage: Eukaryota; Metazoa; Chordata; Mammalia; Eulipotyphla; Erinaceidae
Exons: 3
Source: RefSeq, a predicted model, not a curated record
CAGGCCCAGGAGGGGGGCAGGUGGGGGACAGGCCUUGGGGCGACAGGUCCUGGGGAGGGUACAAUCCCCAGGGGAACUGACAGGCCAGAGAGUUAGGGAGAGAGGAGAGAGGGAGGACUGAGGAGGAGGAGGGGAAGAAAGGAGAGGUGACAGAGGAGGAGCCCGGGGGUCCACAGUGGUGGGCAGUCCCCCAGCUCUGCCCUCCCCAGGCACUCGGUGGCCCCACGGGCCUGACCGGCUCAGCUGACCCAGCCCCCAGUUGGGUGAGGGGCCUGGGGACGUGGCUCCUGGGGCAGGUCUGGCCUCCUGGGGGCUGGGGAUAGAGCCCGUCAUGACGGGGGUCCCUCAGCUCAGGGCCCAGUCCCACCGUGGGGACCCUCAUGCUGGCCACCGCCCCAGACACAGGUCUCACUAUGGGACGGCACUGCCUGUGGGGAGGCCCCUGCCUGGGCGCACCCACAUCUGGCCCUACUGGGCGGCAUCCGGGGACAGUCCCUCUGUCCCCCUCCCCCUCCUCACUGUCCGGCCCCAGGGACUCUGGGGUCCCAGCUGUCACUCGCUGUGGGUGUCUCCUCACUCCCGGGGGUCCCGGCUCAGCUCAGCCCAUAUGCAGCCGGGUCCCAGCAUCUUCCUGCGUCACCUGUGCCUUUGGGGGCCCAGCUGUGCCUGGCUCGGAGCGCGAGAGGAUUCUCGCUCAGUACGACCAGGUGAGGCAAGGACCCGAGAGAGAGCACACAGAGGGUGGGUGGCAUUACACACAGCUGGGAAGAGCCCAGGGUGACCAGGUGAGGCAAGAACCCAAGGAUAGAGCAGAGGAGCCGGGGGAUGGGGUGGGGGACACACACAGCUGGGAGGGACUCAGGCUGGCAGGUGCCCAGGCAGAGGUGCCCAGGUCUGACAGGUGCCCAUAUGUGAGAGGUGCCCAGGUCUGAGAGGUGCCCAGGAUGAGAGGUACCCAGAUCUGACAGGUGCCCAUAUGUGAGAGGUGCCCAGGUCUGACAGGUGCCCAGGUAUGAGAGAUGCCCAGGUAUGAGGGGGUUCCGUCUCCAGAACCCAUCCCUGGGGUCCUCAGUGGCGUUCCCCCAGCAGAGCCCAGUCCCCAGGUUCCUCAGUUGGGUCCUCCUAGCAGAGUCCAGCCCCAGGUGCAGAGCAGGGUCCCCUCCAGAGCCCAGCACCCCCAGGUCCUCAGUGGGGAACAGGCUGGCUCCAGGCAGCCUCCUCCCCACAUGUGGGAUCCCCCUGCCCCUGUGGGUGGCCUGACCUUGUCCCAGCUGAGACCCAGAUGUGGGGGUCCCGGCCCUGUGCCCGUGGGUGGUCCGCCCCGUGUCCCGGCCCAGGCCCAGAGCUGCUUUUGUCCCCAGAUGCGCAGGCAGGUGUACAAAGGGCUCCCCCCACAGGUGCGCGGCCAGGUGUGGGCCGUUUUGCUGAGUGCGGAGCAGGUGAAGGCCGCCAACCUUGACCCCGGGAGACACGAGGUGUGGCCUGGGCUCCCGGAGGCGGCAGGAGCCCCGUUUCCACGUGGGGGACCCCUCCUCCCUCAGAGCCAGCCUGGCGCUUCCCCAGAAACAGCCGAGC